Molecule: small RNA, 4120 nt
Filed under: Pongo abelii (Sumatran orangutan)
Lineage: Eukaryota; Metazoa; Chordata; Mammalia; Primates; Hominidae
Description: retained intron
Source: RNAcentral
CUUUGUGGUGGGGCCGCCCUGUGCCUUGUAGCCAUCCCCAGCCCCUACCCACUAGAUGCCAGUAGCACCCUCAGCGUGGCAAUCAAAAAUGUCUCCAGACAUUGCUCAGUGUCCCCUGGAAGGCAGAAUCACCCUUGCCGCCGACCUUUGCACUCCGCAGAAGCCAGUAGGAGCAUAGAACAGCUUCCUCGGGUUGCUCCAGCAGUCACUGCCAGGAGAGCCUCGGGCGCCCAGGUGAAGCUGGUCUGCCACUGCCCCGGAUCCAUGUGGAACCAGAGCUGGAUCAUGUGGAGGAGUCAAAAAUGCCCGGGCCCUGGCCUGUCUUCAGGAGCCCACGGUCUGAUGGGGAAGGCGGUCACUGUAAUCGUCAGAGAGAAGACACCUGAAGGGGUUGUGAAGCUGCUGUGGGUGACAGUGACAGGCGUCAUAGAUCUGGCUGCAAGCCUGGGGAAUCAUUCAUGGAAGUGGUGGCAUUUCAUUCCUUCAAUGUCUCCUGAGAGCCACUUGUGGCCUAAGCACUGGACUAGGCCCUGGAGCUAGAAAACUGAUGAAGACGUGGGCUGGGCACUGAAUGUACGGUCUACUGAGGGCAUCAGGAGAUGAAUGAGGAGGCUUUCCAAGGGAGGCGGGCAGGGGAACGGCCAGGGGAAUGGCCAGGCGUUGCUGGUGUGCUGGGCGGGGAGGCGCUGGGUCCGCAGGCCUAGGUUUGAGUCCAGCUCUCCCACUUGCCAGCUGGUGCCCUCAGGUGAGUCACUUCUCCCAGACCUCCAGCUCCUCGUUUACUUAAGGGUAUCUUGAACACACAAUCAGAAGUAGUGGCUCUGAAGUGCUUACCUGUUUGCUGGCCGAGUUCAUUCAUCCUUUCCACAAGUAUCAUUAAGCACCUACUGUGUGCUGAGUACUGGGGCCUCCACAGGGAACAAAACAAAGCCCCGCCUCCGUGGAACUCAUACUUUGUUGGGAGAGGAGAAAAAAUCAGUUGUCUGUGAGAGCAUAUCAGGCAGUCUUAAGCACCUUUAGGAAACAAGGCAGGGUCAGAGGCUACAAAGGGAAGGAGGGGGCCGAUUGGAUGGGGGGUUGGAGGCUGCUGAUGAAGGAACAUUGAGCAGAAACCUGAAUGAGUCAUGCCGCUAUGGGGCGCGGCUGGUCCCUGGCAGAGGAAGCGCGGUGCAAAGGUCCUGAGACGAGCACGCUGCCUGGCGUGUCACACAGUAGCUGAGAGGUCAGGGUGGCUGAGUGAAGUGAGCAGCCUGGGGAGGGAGGAGAGAAGAGGCUGGGGCAGUGGCCAAGCCCAGAUCACAGGAGCGCUUACCAGGUUUACCCCCUGCGUGGUGGCCACUGGAUGGGUAUGAGCCCUGGAUCUGGUGGGGCUGGUGACAGGCCUGUCUGCAGAGGACUUGUGUAAGAAAGAUGAAGAUGCGACACCCAAACUCCUCCCGCCUGGCUAGAUGGGAGCAUGGAGCAAACCAACCUUUGCUGCCUGCUGUGGGGUGCCACGGGAGCAGAUGGCGGCUUCACGGAGAAGCUGGGGGCCAGACUCCACGUUAAUCCCAUGGAUGGCUUAAGGAGCUUCCCCGCAGCAACCAUGCGUGGUGCCUCUCUGUAAAGAAAAAAUGCAUUGUUUGUGAAGUGGAUCAAGAUGCGGCCUCCCAGAACGCUGCCCUUUUGAGGAAUGGCUUGUCUUAGAAGGGAAGAGAAAGGCCAAAUAGAAUGUUCAUCUUUUGUAAAGUUUAAAAAAAAAAAAAAAGCCAGCCUCCAAGGCUGAGAAUCGAUAUUAAUUUCAUGGGCUUAUGGGCAGUGAGAUAAAGCAGGUUUCUGGCAGCCCUUUCCAGCCCUAUUGGAUUUUACAAUCUUGAACUGUGAAGAGAGCGAAUAAAGGUAUCAAGGGCUCUGCCCGUCUCCAGCUGUCUUGGGCCACAGCUCAUCCAAAUCCCCCACCCUCCAUCCCGGCCUGCAGCCCUCUGAAAGGCAGGUUGGAUGGCAAGAAAUGGCUUGAGCCCUCGAAGACGGCUCACUACAAGGACAGUUGGGAUUGUGGCUUUAGGAGGGAUUUACGCAGCUCCUCCGGGGCAGGUGAGGACCACGGGGUCAUGCUAGAGAGUCAGCUCAACGUGGCUGCCUGGGACACGUCUACAUGCCAGAGGGCAGCCAAGGGGAUGACUGACUCUAACUACAUCUGGUUUUAGACCAGGGCUGCUCGUCCGGGCACCAUUGAGGUAGGGCAGGAAUGGGCUCAGCGUGCUAGGGACCAUCCUCCUCUGCAACCCUGCCCUCCUUGCAUUUACCGAGCCUGUGCGUGGCGCUGCCCGCACCAGCUAGCCUGGGCAUCUUCCGUCUGUGUGAUCCAUUUCAGGGCCUGUUGCUUGGUCUUUCUAAAACUCCAGCUUCGUGGGGGUGACCCACACAAGUGAACCUUCGCCCCUCCUUGUACUCUGCCACAGCCACUUUGAAUUUCUCACUGGAUAACUGUGCCGGGUUCCACCACCUCCAGGCUCACACAGGCUGCUCCGACUGCCAGAAAUCCUCACCCUUCUAGCUUUGCUUGGUGGCUUCUUACCCUUCCUCAGUUCUCAGUGUCCAUGUCAUGCCAGGAAAACCUUCCCGGACCUUCUCCCCUAUCCCCUCUCUGGCCCCGGCCCCAAGGCCUAGCUGUGCCUAGCAUGUUGUGGGUCCCAGUUGAAGUUGAAUGAAUAAAUGAGUGAAAAGCCAAGGGAGAAUGGCCACCCAACCGGGGCCUGGGAUGGAGGCGCAGCUGUGGCCAGCAGCAGGAGCCCCAUGCUCCCCCAAUCCAGUGUCACCUCUUGUGCCUCCCUUCUUCCUCCGUAUCAGGGUGGGGCAGCUUCCCGGACUGCUCCCAGUCCUGUCCCAGCUCCUCCGUCUUGAGUUCAGUGUGGACCUGCCUCCUCUUCACCCUGCAGGUCGCCAGCUCUCCAGAUCCUGCUGACCAACACCAAAGUCCCUCGCAAUACCAGGGCCCUCGUGGCUGGCGUCAGAAACAGGCUGCUCAAGUUUCCAGAGAUCGUGGCCCCCCUCCUGACCUCAAUAGAUGCCAUCUCCCUGGAGUGUGAGCGCGUGCUGGGAGAGAUGGGGGAAGCCCCAGCCCCGGAGCAGUACCUCGUGCUGGAAGAGCUCAUUGACAUGAACCAGCACCAUCUGAAUGCCCUCGGCGUGGGCCACGCCUCUCUGGACCAGCUCUGCCAGGUGACCAGGGCCCGCGGACUUCACAGCAAGCUGACUGGCGCAGGCGGUGGCGGCUGUGGCAUCACACUCCUCAAGCCAGGGCUGGAGCAGCCAGAAGUGGAGGCCACGAAGCAGGCCCUGACCAGCUGUGGCUUUGACUGCUUGGAAACCAGCAUCGGUGCCCCCGGCGUCUCCAUCCACUCAGCCACCUCCCUGGACAGCCGAGUCCAGCAAGCCCUGGAUGGCCUCUGAGAGGAGCCCACAACACUGCAGCCCCACCCAGAUGCCCCUUUCUGGAUUAUUCUGGGGGCUACAGUUCGACUCUGUGCUGGCCAGCGAGUGCCCAGCUCCUGACACUGCUGGAGAGGCCUCAGCCGCUUGGCGAUGCCAGCCGAGCUCUGCAGUCCCAGCGGUGGGACCUAGGGAGGCAUGGUCUGCGCUCUGCAUCCUCUGGAGCCAGCCGAGCAGGAGGCCCAGGAGGGUCCUCUGAGACUCCAGACCUGAGGCGAGAAGGGCUGCUUCCCCGAAGCUCCCACAGUCCCAUCUGCUUCAGGCCCCCGCCUUGGCCUGUGUUCUCCCUGGCCGCCUGGGUCCGAUGCUCAGAUGCUAGGGCCUGGUUCCCGGAGAAGUGUGCCUUCUCUCUCCCUCUUCAGGGACCACCCCCUGUCUCUCAGGGCCAGGCCUCUCCCUCCUCCUCCAGGAAGCCUCCCCCUACCCCUUGUCCCCCCUCCCUCCCAGAGCAUCUGCUGUCUGGGUGGGUCACUCAGCAUUUGGUGUAGCCUUCCCUUCUACCUAGCGGGACGGAGCUCCCCCAGGGGCUGUCCCGGAGGCGGUGGGCCUGGUUAAAUAAGGCAGGGUUUAUGUGCACUUUCUUCCAAUCUGUACCUGAGAGGUUUGUGGAAAAGAUGGCAAAUGGGGAAUAAAAAGAUUUUGUGUCAAC